RNAcentral lists this long non-coding RNA (612 nucleotides) under Sus scrofa (pig). RNAcentral describes it as "lncRNA (ENSSSCG00050027338.1)". The record is from RNAcentral. Lineage: Eukaryota; Metazoa; Chordata; Mammalia; Artiodactyla; Suidae.
CUUUUGUUCUAGUGGAAACAUGUUUUCCUCCUGAGCACUCUUUUGGGGUAAGCAAUCGGACGGGGUGGAAGUUGGUGCCUAGCGGGGUCAGCAAGUUUUUCCUUCCAGAGAGGCUGUGAACUGCGGCAGCCGGUGGCCCUGCGCCCAGCUCCAUAUAUGGAAGGUCUUCGGAAAGAUGAUCUUCAUUGGACAGAUGAGAAAACCAAGGCCCGAAGAGGGAAGAUUCUUGCUCAGGGUCAUGCAGCAAGUUCAAGGACGUAUUACUCAGAAGAUCUGCUCCUCCUGUUCACUCAGGAACUGGCUGGGAGAGGCUCCAUUUCAACAUGGCUUACACAUCACAGGAGAAAUUCUUUCUAGCUUUUCUGCUAGAGACAACACAGGUCACUUCCUCUACACUUGUCAUGUGGCCUCACCUAACUUGGAGGCAGAUUGAAGGGGAGAUGCCGGAUGCCUACCAGGGAGAAGCAGGGAAGACUUCUCUGGUUUUAGCAGGGAUCUGAAUUGUGCAUGAGAGUUGACCAGGGAGGGAGUUUCCAUUGUGGCUCAGAGGGUUACUAACCCGACUAGUAUCCAUAAGGAUGUAGGUUUGAUCCCUAGCCUCAUUCAGUGGUU